GAUGAACGCUGGCGGCGUGCCUAAUACAUGCAAGUCGAACGGGUGUAGCAAUACACUAGUGGCGAACGGGUGAGUAACACGUUGGUGACCUGCCCUAAAGAGGGGAAUACCACUUCGAAAGGAGUGACAAAACCGCAUAAGCUAGUGCUAGUUAGAGAGGCAUUAGUAAAAGAGCAAUCUACUUUAGGAGGGGCCUGCGGCCCAUCAGCUAGUUGGUGAGGUAAAAGCCCACCAAGGCGAAGACGGGUAGGGACCUGAGAGGGUGAUCCCCCAAAUGGAACUGAAACACGGUCCAUACACCUGCGGGUGGCAGCAGUAGGGAAUAUUGCUUAAUGGGCGAAAGCCUGAAGCAGCAACGCCGCGUGAACGAAGAAGGGCCUUCGGGUCGUAAAGUUCUUUUACGGUGGGAUGAGGAAGGACAGUACCACGAGAAUAAGUCUCGGCUAACUACGUG
RNAcentral lists this ribosomal RNA (454 nucleotides) under uncultured bacterium. RNAcentral describes it as "bacterial SSU rRNA". It matches the Rfam family "Bacterial small subunit ribosomal RNA", at positions 28 to 507 of the family's 1533-position model. The record is from RNAcentral.